UAGGCGGACGGGUGAGUAAUGUCUGGGAAACUGCCCGAUGGAGGGGGAUAACUACUGGAAACGGUAGCUAAUACCGCAUAACGUCGCAAGACCAAAGAGGGGGACCUUCGGGCCUCUUGCCAUCGGAUGUGCCCAGAUGGGAUUAGCUAGUAGGUGGGGUAACGGCUCACCUAGGCGACGAUCCCUAGCUGGUCCGAGAGGAUGACCAGCCACACUGGAACUGAGACACGGUCCAG
This 236-nucleotide ribosomal RNA is filed under the name uncultured bacterium. RNAcentral's name for it is "partial 16S ribosomal RNA". It matches the Rfam family "Bacterial small subunit ribosomal RNA", at positions 95 to 334 of the family's 1533-position model. The record is from RNAcentral.